This is an RNA transcript of Cucumis sativus (cucumber), 1416 nucleotides long. RefSeq lists it as uncharacterized. The record is from RefSeq and is a predicted model, not a curated record. The transcript is spliced from 2 exons. Lineage: Eukaryota; Viridiplantae; Streptophyta; Magnoliopsida; Cucurbitales; Cucurbitaceae.
UAUUUCUUUGAUCUUUAAUUAGUUUAUUUAUAAUUAGGGUUGGUAUCUGUUAGGACAUAAUUUCUUUAUAUUUUCUAAUAUGAUUGAAUUUUGCAUUUAUUGCAUAUACAGAUAGAGAUUAGUAGAACUUCCAAGAAAUAAUUGUGAAAAAAAAACAAAAAACACUCUAAUUGCUAAGAACAAAAAAGGGUUAAUGUCCUCCAUGGUGGCCGGCGGGCUUAAGUGGAUCUUUCAGGAUCACGAUGGUCAUACAGUUCUCCAAGUUGAGGUUUCAGUGGAGGGUUUGAAAGCGUUUGAGCUAUAAGAGUGCUCCAAGCUUAACCCCUCACUUUCACUUGAGGGAGAGGUUAUUAUUAAUCCUGCUCGUUAGGGAGAUUUAUUUUUCUGAAUUAGGAUUACUCAUCUGAGGGAAAAACAUAUUAAAGUUUUGGUUUUUUUUUUUUUUUACGCGUUUUUAAACAGUAGAACAAAUUAAAACUAUUCAUGCUAUUGCAGCUUUUACAUCCUCUCUAGGUGUUUUUAUUUUGUUUAAAUGUAGAAAGAGGUUCUUUUGUAUAGUAUUAUCUUCCUCAUCCUUUAUGAGGUGCUAACAAGUAAAUGAUAGGGUUUAUUGGUUGCUAUAGUUUUGUUAUGUUACAUUUUUUUAAUUCUAGAUGAUUUAACUACAAUUAGAUUUAUUUCAUUUGCUAUAUUGAUAUAUAUAUAUAUAUAUAUCAAAGGACUAAAAGAAAAAUAAUAUAUAAUGAAUAAACUUUGGAAAAGGAUAUCUAAAUAGAUACAAAUGAAAGAAUAUAUUUUUGGUGAAAGAGGGACAAAGCUUCGGUGCUUGGUGGAGCUAUCAAGUUUGUGAAAGAGCUUCAAGAACGUCUCAAAUGGGCUGAGGAAAAAGAAAAGGAGCAGAAGAGAGUAAUUAAAUCAGUCGUGUUUGUGAAAACAAUCAAUCUCGACUCCGACUUUGAUAACGAAACCUUUUCAUUGGAUGAGAAUGGUGGCAGGUUUUCGGUUCGAUCAGUUCCUACAAUAGAAACAAGAGUUUUGGAGAAGGAUGUUUUGGUAAGAAUUCAUUGCAAGAAACACAAAGGAUGUUAUACGAGCAUAGUAAGCGAAAUAGAGAAGCUUAAGCUUACAAUUGUGAAUAGCUGCGUUUUUCCAUUUGGUCAAUCCAGACUUGACAUAACCAUUAUUGCCGAGAUGGAGGCUGGUUUUUGCAUGACACCUAUGGAUCUCGGGAAGAAGCUAAGAGAGACUUUGAUCGAGUUCAUAUAGGAUUUUAAUAUAUCAAUAUAUAUGCACAAAAAAUAUUAAUAUAUAGCUUAAUUCCAUAUGAAUGACAAUGGAUAAUGCGUUGAAAAGAUUAUAUUGUUGGCAUUAGGAUUACAUAAUUAAUAUAUUUAUAACAAAGAGUUAAAAGUUGUA